GACGAACGCUGGCGGCGUGCUUAACACAUGCCAGUCGAACGGAAAGGCCCUGCUUUUGUGGGGUGCUCGAGUGGCGAACGGGUGAGUAACACGUGAGUAACCUGCCCUUGACUUUGGGAUAACUUCAGGAAACUGGGGCUAAUACCGGAUAGGAGCUCCUGCUGCAUGGUGGGGGUUGGAAAGUUUCGGCGGUUGGGGAUGGACUCGCGGCUUAUCAGCUUGUUGGUGGGGUAGUGGCUUACCAAGGCUUUGACGGGUAGCCGGCCUGAGAGGGUGACCGGCCACAUUGGGACUGAGAUACGGCCCAGACUCCUACGGGGGGCAGCAGUGGGGAAUAUUGCACAAUGGGCGGAAGCCUGAUGCAGCAACGCCGCGUGCGGGAUGACGGCCUUCGGGUUGUAAACCGCUUUCGCCUGUGACGAAGCGUGAGUGACGGGAAUGGGUAAAGAAGCAACGGCUAACUACGGG
RNAcentral lists this ribosomal RNA (468 nucleotides) under uncultured bacterium. Its description in RNAcentral is "partial 16S ribosomal RNA". It matches the Rfam family "Bacterial small subunit ribosomal RNA", at positions 28 to 507 of the family's 1533-position model. The record is from RNAcentral.